RNAcentral lists this ribosomal RNA (528 nucleotides) under uncultured bacterium. Its description in RNAcentral is "bacterial SSU rRNA". It matches the Rfam family "Bacterial small subunit ribosomal RNA", at positions 980 to 1509 of the family's 1533-position model. The record is from RNAcentral.
CUUGACAUCCAGAGAAUUUAGCAGAGAUGCUUUAGUGCCUUCGGGAACUCUGAGACAGGUGCUGCAUGGCUGUCGUCAGCUCGUGUUGUGAAAUGUUGGGUUAAGUCCGCAACGAGCGCAACCCUUAUCCUUUGUGCCAGCACGUAAUGGUGGGAACUCAAAGGAGACUGCCGGUGAUAAACCGGAGGAAGGUGGGGAUGACGUCAAGUCAUCAUGGCCCUUACGAGUAGGGCUACACACGUGCUACAAUGGCGUAUACAAAGAGAAGCGACCUCGCGAGAGCAAGCGGACCUCAUAAAGUGCGUCGUAGUCCGGAUUGGAGUCUGCAACUCGACUCCAUGAAGUCGGAAUCGCUAGUAAUCGUAAAUCAGAAUGUUACGGUGAAUACGUUCCCGGGCCUUGUACACACCGCCCGUCACACCAUGGGAGUGGGUUGCAAAAGAAGUAGAUAGCUUAACCUUCGGGAGGGCGUUUACCACUUUGUGAUUCAUGACUGGGGUGAAGUCGUAACAAGGUAAGCGUAGUGCU